UAGGGAAUCUUCCGCAAUGGACGUAAGUCUGACGGAGCAACGCCGCGUGAGUGAAGAAGGAUUUCGGUUCGUAAAACUCUGUUGUUAGAGAAGAACAGCGCAUAGAGUAACUGUUAUGCGUGUGACGGUAUCUAACCAGAAAGCCACGGCUAACUACGUGCCAGCAGCCGCGGUAAUACGUAGGUGGCAAGCGUUGUCCGGAUUUAUUGGGCGUAAAGCGAGCGCAGGCGGUCAAUUAAGUCUGAUGUGAAAGCCCCCGGCUCAACCGGGGAGGGUCAUUGGAAACUGGUUGACUUGAGUGCAGAAGAGGAGAGUGGAAUUCCAUGUGUAACGGUGAAAUGCGUAGAUAUAUGGAGGAACACCAGUGGCGAAGGCGACUCUCUGGUCUGUAACUGACGCUGAGGCUCGAAAGCGUGGGUAGCAAACAGG
This 429-nucleotide ribosomal RNA is filed under the name Bacteroidota bacterium. RNAcentral describes it as "Bacteroidetes bacterium partial 16S ribosomal RNA". It matches the Rfam family "Bacterial small subunit ribosomal RNA", at positions 355 to 776 of the family's 1533-position model. The record is from RNAcentral. Lineage: Bacteria; Pseudomonadati; Bacteroidota.